AACGAACGCUGGCGGCAUGCCUAACACAUGCAAGUCGAACGAGACCUUCGGGUCUAGUGGCGCACGGGUGCGUAACGCGUGGGAACCUGCCCUUAGGUUCGGAAUAACUCCCCGAAAGGGGUGCUAAUACCGGAUCAUGUCUUCGGACCAAAGAUUUUUUGCCUCUGGAUGGGCCCGCGUUGGAUUAGCUCGUUGGUAGGGUAAAAGCCUACUAAGGCGACGAUCCAUAGCUGGUCUGAGAGGAUGGUCAGCCACACUGGGACUGAGACACGGCCCAGACUCCUACGGGAGGCAGCAGUGGGGGAUAUUGGACAAUGGGCGGAAGCCUGAUCCAGCAAUGCCGCGUGAGUGAUGAAGUCCUUAAGGUUGUAAAGCUCUUUUACCCGGGAUGAUAAUGACAGUACCGGGAGAAUAAGCUCCGGCUAACCCCGUG
Molecule: ribosomal RNA, 433 nt
Filed under: uncultured bacterium
Lineage: Bacteria
Description: partial 16S ribosomal RNA
Rfam family: Bacterial small subunit ribosomal RNA
Source: RNAcentral